RNAcentral lists this transfer RNA (75 nucleotides) under uncultured archaeon. RNAcentral's name for it is "tRNA-Gly(tcc)". It matches the Rfam family "tRNA". From Rfam's summary of the family: Transfer RNA (tRNA) molecules are approximately 80 nucleotides in length. Their secondary structure includes four short double-helical elements and three loops (D, anti-codon, and T loops). The record is from RNAcentral.
GCGGAUGUAGUAUAACCUGGCUAGUAUUUUGGCCUUCCAAGUCAAAGGUACGGGUUCAAAUCCCGGCAUCCGCAC